UACGAAGGGGGCUAGCGUUGUUCGGAAUUACUGGGCGUAAAGGGCGCGUAGGCGGCGUGUCAAGUCAGGCGUGAAAGCCCCGGGCUCAACCUGGGAACCGCGCUUGAGACUGGCAUGCUCGAGUUCGGGAGAGGAUGGUGGAAUUCCCAGUGUAGAGGUGAAAUUCGUAGAUAUUGGGAAGAACACCGAUGGCGAGGGCAGCCAUCUGGACCGACACUGACGCUGAGGCGCGAAAGCGUGGGGAGCAAACAGG
This 253-nucleotide ribosomal RNA is filed under the name uncultured bacterium. RNAcentral's name for it is "partial 16S ribosomal RNA". It matches the Rfam family "Bacterial small subunit ribosomal RNA", at positions 524 to 776 of the family's 1533-position model. The record is from RNAcentral.